ACCAGACUCCUACGGGAGGCAGCAGUGGGGAAUAUUGGGCAAUGGGCGCAAGCCUGACCCAGCAACGCCGCGUGAAGGAAGAAGGCUUUCGGGUUGUAAACUUCUUUUCUCAGGGACGAAUAGAUGACGGUACCUGAGGAAUAAGCCACGGCUAACUACGUGCCAGCAGCCGCGGUAAUACGUAGGUGGCAAGCGUUAUCCGGAUUUACUGGGUGUAAAGGGCGUGUAGGCGGGGACGCAAGUCAGAUGUGAGAACCACGGGCUCAACCUGUGGCCUGCAUUUGAAACUGUGUUUCUUGAGUACUGGAGAGGCAGACGGAAUUCCUAGUGUAGCGGUGAAAUGCGUAGAUAUUAGGAGGAACACCAGUGGCGAAGGCGGUCUGCUGGACAGCAACUGACGCUGAGGUGCGAAAGCGUGGGGAGCAAACAGGAUUAGAUACCCCGGUACC
RNAcentral lists this ribosomal RNA (449 nucleotides) under uncultured bacterium. RNAcentral's name for it is "bacterial SSU rRNA". It matches the Rfam family "Bacterial small subunit ribosomal RNA", at positions 330 to 794 of the family's 1533-position model. The record is from RNAcentral.